Non-coding RNA from Cajanus cajan (pigeon pea), 444 nucleotides. The record is from RefSeq and is a predicted model, not a curated record. NCBI's taxonomy places the organism in Eukaryota, Viridiplantae, Streptophyta, Magnoliopsida, Fabales, Fabaceae.
AUAAUUAAUUAAUUUAGCAAAGAGUGAGUGAGGGUAGUAGUAGUAGAAGAAGUGGAAUUGAUCAAAGGAAAAAGGAAAAAAUGCAUUCAUAUGGAUACAGAGCGAAUGCUGUGUUAACCUUCAGCUUAACCCUUCUUGCCGUUAUGUGCGCCAUGGCUUCUCUCUCCGACAACCGCAAUUCCCCCUCUCCCUCUGCCCAUGUUCAGGUCUUGAACAUUAAUUGGUUUCAGAAGCAUCCCAAUGGCGGCGACGAGGUAAUUCUAAUAAAAGUUACAUUUUUUUAUGUUUUAUAAUUGCAAGCUCUUGGGAUUCAGAAUUGGGCUCCCUGUGGGAUAAAAUUUAAUAUAUUAUAUAUUAAAAAAAUGCAAUUUGAGCAUUCAUAGACAUUGUCGGAAAAUCACGUGGAAAAGCAUGCUUUCAUUGAUAAACUUUUCUUUCCUUGAA